UACGGAGGGUGCAAGCGUUAUCCGGAUUCACUGGGUUUAAAGGGUGCGUAGGUGGGAAUGUAAGUCAGUGGUGAAAUCUCCGUGCUUAACAUGGAAACUGCCAUUGAUACUAUGUUUCUUGAAUUUUCUGGAGGUAAGCGGAAUAUGUCAUGUAGCGGUGAAAUGCUUAGAUAUGACAUAGAACACCAAUUGCGAAGGCAGCUUGCUACGGGGAUAUUGACACUGAGGCACGAAAGCGUGGGGAUCAAACAGG
This 253-nucleotide ribosomal RNA is filed under the name uncultured bacterium. RNAcentral's name for it is "partial 16S ribosomal RNA". It matches the Rfam family "Bacterial small subunit ribosomal RNA", at positions 524 to 776 of the family's 1533-position model. The record is from RNAcentral.